Molecule: long non-coding RNA, 3992 nt
Organism: Herpailurus yagouaroundi (jaguarundi)
Lineage: Eukaryota; Metazoa; Chordata; Mammalia; Carnivora; Felidae
Exons: 2
Source: RefSeq, a predicted model, not a curated record
AAACUCAGAAUGAAUGACGAUUCCAUGAGGUACAGAUGAGAAAAAUGAAUCACGUAUGCUUCACGGGAAGUGACUUCAUCAUUUCCAACAAGUGGCCAUGGAAGUAGAGUUUGCCAUCACUGGCUGAAAAGAUGUCUGUCACAAAAGAGAGCUGCGCCCAACUGAGGCCACCAGGCCACAUCUCAGAGCCUUCUCUUCCCCAUACUUGAGGACCCCCACUUCCGAGGCCAGAUGACUUCAGGGUUAUAUUGUCUGACCCCCUCAGGAACAGAGAAGGUGCCCAAGGAGGGGGAGAGGACCCACUAAAGUUCAUUAGAAUUGAAGUUAUGUAGGAUGAUUGGCUGGCUCAGUAUAUCUGUGGUGGGUUCUGAACCAGAUCUCAGCCCCCUAUGCCCUCCAGUGCCCUUCCCACGGCACCGGCCCACUUCCUCAUCCUCUAAGAGUCACGUCUCCAUAGCUUCCUGCACUUCCUUGCUCAACAGCCUCACCGAACCUCUACUAGAGUGUGGGUUACUCCUCCAGUGUUCCUUCUUCCAUGCUAGACUGUAAGCUCUCCAAGAAUAGAAAUGGUAUGUAUUCUUCUCUGUAUCCUUCAUUUCUAGCACAUUGUCUGUCUCGAGAAGACAUUCAAAGACUAUCUGUUGGAUGCAAGCAGAAACAAUAAAUAAGGCUCAUCGUCUCUCUCUCUCUUUCCCUUUCCUAAUAGAAGACUCAAAUUUCCUAUAAAUUCCCACACAGAAGAAUGUGUAAAAGCUUGAGCAUCCCAGGGACUGUCCAAAGAUCUCCAGCUAUAACCUUCUAUUUAACUAGGACUGUUACUAUUAUUAUCUAUAUACAGUGUGCCUGAGGUCCUAAGAACAGAGAGAUACUCUUUGGAAGCCAGAAGCCACCUGAGAAAACCACCAUUUUGGUGACUUUUCUCCAAAUGUACCCAAAGGCCUGGGUUCCUGUCAUGUGAUGUUUUUCCCUCCUUCUUAAGGGAAGAGAGGAUAUGAAUAAAGAUCACUAUUCUCAAGCAAGGCAGACCAAAUUCACAAGGAUCUUUCCCAUAAAAUAUCUGCAUAUCUGAACGAAGGAAAAAGGAGUACUGUUCUAAUUUUUUAAUUUCUUUGAAGUACAUCUUUUUUGUAUAAAGAAAUUUGCUCUUUGAUUCCAAAUAAGGCACAAGUAAGUAGAAGAAAGAUUUCUCCAUGAACCCACAAUUCCCACCCUGGGAAGGUGGAAUUAUGGUGCCCCAGAGAUGUCCACAUCCUAAUCCGCAGAGCCCAUGAAUAUGUUACCUUACAUCACAAAAGGGACUCUGUGGAUGGGAUUGGAGUUAAGGACCUUGAGAUGGAGAGAUUAUCCUGGAAUAUCCAGAUGGGCUUGAUGUAGUCACAAUACUCCUCCAAAGCAAACAGCCUUUCUUGGAUGUGACCAGAAGACAGCAAUGUGGCUGGCUCUGAAGAUGGAAAAAGGGGACGUGCAUGAAGGAAUGCAGGCGGCCUCUAUAAACCCCAAAAGGCAAAAAGAUGCAUCCUCUCCUAGAGCCUUCAGAAAGGAAUACGGUCCUCCUGACAUCAGGUCAGUGAGACCCAUGUCAGACUUCUAAACAGCAGCUGGGUGAUAUGUCUGUGUCAUUUUAAAAUUAUUUGCUAUGGCACAAAACAGAAAACUGAUACAGGGCAGUAAUAAAGAGUCAAGGAAGCCCUUCUCAGUGCUGGAGGGAUGGAAUAACCUGUUUGAGCAGGCGCUUUCUGGGCUAUUAGGCUCAGGACAAGCCCCUGGUGUGCCUCAGACCACCAAUUCCUAGCUAAGAAUGAUUGCACUGUGUCCAGAUGCUUCUCUCUUCAGACAGCAGACUGAACGUGGGGUGGGGCCAUCCGAUUAAGGACAUGGGGCAGGGAUCUCACCCACCUCUCUGCCUUGUUCAGUGCCGAUAGGCAUAGAGAAAUGUAUCUUCGUGAAUGAAAGCAAUUUGGACACUACAGGAGACCUAUAAUAAGGGGAGCAUAAAAGUCUUAGAUCUUUAUCAUAUGAUGAGCAGAAAAAGGGAGGUUUUCUCACUAGCCUAUCUGGUCUCAGAAGUCAACAAAUUAGAAUUCUGAAAAGGUGCAUGUUUUGCCUGGGGUCAUCUAGUAAACUAGGGAGAAAAAGAGGCCAGGGGCACAAUUCUUGACCCUUUGCUACCUGCAUUAUAUCAGCCUGCAGUAAGAACUGGAAAAUCCACUAUAGAGGUAGAAGGGAGGCCCAAAGCCCAGACUCCUUAGAGCAUAAACUAGUAAUUUGAGCACAGCAACCUAAUGCAAGAAAAGGUGCAUGCAGUGACCAUGUGCAGAAGCUGUUGAUGAACUCACAGAUGGCCCCUCCAUUGUGUGAUUUCAUCCUGCACUCCCCGUGGGGACAGAGCCCCUUUCUCUGGAGAGGAAAACUAUGCCCAACGUAUGGAUGAGUUAUCCAUGCAGUUCAUGCCAUCAUUCUCUGAAAAGGCAGAGCACUGGAACGGAAAAGAACAGAGGCUUGAAAUUUGGAAGGAGUAUUUGGAGCUUGACUUGACACCACAGGAGAGAGCUGGAAGCGAGCCUUGGCCAGGAACUUGACCUGUGGAAUCCUCAGUUUGCUCCUUAUGAAACAGGGAUAAUAAUGCACGCUUUGCAAAGUGACUGUAAGGAUUUAUUCACUCAGUAAACUAUGAAAUGAAAUUAUACAUAUGCACGGAAUGUCCUACAGCCAAUAUUCCAUAAAAGGUUUCUCACCUGGCCCUUUAUAGAUUUUCCCCUAACAUCAGAAAAGAAAGCUUGAUGAAACACGUGUUGUCUAAGAAAAGGCUUGUAUUUGUGCUGUGCAAAUUCCAAGGAUCAGUGGCCCUGGCCCCCAAAGGGAUGGGCCUGACGCCAGUUUGUACAGGGUCUUAGUCUGUUUCUCUCCCUUUCCCGAAUCCCUGUUCACAGUGAUUGUGGACUCACAGCGCCAUCUCGUGGGAAACUGUGGACUUUCCUUUUCUUUUGCCCAACUAGAAAAUCCAGCAAACACCUCAUCUCUGCCAGACACACAGCCUACAAAGACCUAAAACACCUUUCCUGACUUUACUUAAAAAUAAGCAAAAUGCCUAGCUGAGGACAUGUGCAUGGCCACAACUAAGAAAAGGAAAAGGAGAAGCCCAUUUAGCCUGCCCGGCGAGAUCCCAGGCUGUGUUCCCCGGGGAGCAGGGAGAAGGAGCCUCGGGGAAUACCUGGAGAGGACUCCUGGAGGAGAAGGCAGAGCCUUCUCAGAGAAGAACGAGCCACGGGUGCCAUCCAUUGAACACACCUGGGCUGCAUGCUCUUCUAGAUGCUCUACGUGUACCAACUCAUUUAACCUUCCCAAACACUGAGCACCGCAGGAAAGCUGCUCUCCAACUCCAGGAGGUCUGAAUCCAAGUUCUUAACUACUCAGCGAUGACUGCUGGUUACUGCUAGCUACCAGUCAGUCGCCUGCAGUUUAAGUCAGAGAGAGGCAGCGGCUGAGACGGGCUGUAGUCCACAUUCCCCGACUCCAGAUUCCCAGCUUCCAUAUCAAGAAAAUGCCUUUUGUUCAACUAAGCCACGGCCAACGGACAGGAUAUUUAUAAACCAAGUUGUAAUAGCAAGCAGGUAUAUCCAGCAGACAACCGGCAUUCAGUGGAUAAGUGCUGAAAGAUGAGCGAAUAGGACCAUUCGGAUGACUUAAUAUAGCAUUUUCUCAACAAACGUGGAAGUUUUGUUUUGUUCUGUUCCCCGGGAGCAGCUCUCUGCUGCCAGAGGCCCUCCUUGGUUACCCCUACCAAGUCCACAGCCUGUAUUUCAGACCGAGGUGCAGGAUGGGGGCUCUGCAGGGGGGCUGACCUGUGACUUCAUCUGUCCCGCAUCGACUAACACCACACCUUUCAGUCGAUGUCGUCACCCAGUAAAGCACAGAAUCUUGCCAAGGACCUUGAGGGAAAUUCGUGUUUGAUGGCCCUAAGAAAGUGAUGAAAAUAAAUCUGGAAGAAGGGU